Molecule: ribosomal RNA, 250 nt
Filed under: uncultured bacterium
Lineage: Bacteria
Description: partial 16S ribosomal RNA
Rfam family: Bacterial small subunit ribosomal RNA
Source: RNAcentral
UACGAAGGGUGCAAGCGUUGCUCGGAAUUAUUGGGCGUAAAGGGUAGGUAGGUGGUAAUAAAAGUCUGGGGUGAAAUCCCUGAGCUCAACUCAGGACGUGCCUUGGAAACUUUAUUACUAGAGUGCUGGAGAGGUUUGCAGAAUUCCCGGUGUAGCGGUGAAAUGCGUAGAGAUCGGGAGGAAUACCAGAGGCGAAGGCGGCAAACUGGACAGUAACUGACACUCAACUACGAAAGCGUGGGUAGCAAAC